CACUGGACAACUCCCAGGGAGAGCCAUCGACCUGGGCAGCCACACUUGGCCGCAACCCUGCAGCCUCCUUCUUGGCCUUAGUGGCCUCAGCAGUAAAAUGGGACAGGAGACCCCACCCUAAGAAGGCCAGAGGAGGCGACUGCGGCAAGAGCCUGUCCAUGACCCGGGCCCGGCAUGACCAUGGCCUGAGUCCGGCGCAGCUGCACGCCCAGCCCAGCCCCCCGCCGUGGAGUCGCCUGUCCUGACAUUUCAUGGAAAUGGCAUCACACAACACGCGUGGCCAAGCGGCUGCUGCUUUCACCGAGCACAGUGUCUUCUGGGCUUGUCCACCAUGACAGCCUGUGGCAGAGCGUCAUUCCUUCCCAUUCAUUCAUUCAUGGCGAGGGGCAGCUCAGGACUGCUGGCCUUGGCCUGUCCCCAGAACAGCCUGGUCGGCCGAGGUGACGCGCUCUGCCCCAAUGCAGAGACGGGGUCUCGCUCUUGCUCAGGCUGGUCUCAAAC
This is a non-coding RNA of Microcebus murinus (gray mouse lemur), 501 nucleotides long. NCBI's taxonomy places the organism in Eukaryota, Metazoa, Chordata, Mammalia, Primates, Cheirogaleidae. The record is from RefSeq and is a predicted model, not a curated record.